Molecule: long non-coding RNA, 1932 nt
Organism: Amphiprion ocellaris (clown anemonefish)
Lineage: Eukaryota; Metazoa; Chordata; Actinopteri; Pomacentridae
Source: Ensembl
AAUAUCUGAGAUCCGUUAAAGAAAUAAAACGAGCAGACGAUGGCACAACUGUUCUGCUCUACACAAAAAAAAAAAAAAUGCACGGAGUUAGCUUUGUGGCUAACAUGCUAAUCCCGGAAGAGGAGGGACCGUCAGACGGAAGCGCUAUUUGAUCGCCUCUCCUGGAGAUUCAGGUUCAUUUCAGGCAGAAUGAAGAGAGAACCAGACCUCUGUGGCAUUCAGCAGAUUAUUAUUUUUCAAAGAAUACAACACGGCAGCAAGAAAAAUGCAGAAGCUCACCUGUUUCCAAGAAGCAGAACCGCUGAGACGUGACACCGGGCGUUGAGGCUGAUUUGGAUGCAGAGAAAGAAGAAUGAACGGGCUGAAUUCAGUCCAAGGACGAUGUGAUAAUCCUGAGAUCAAAGCGAGAGUGGGACAGCUGGGAGCAAUGUCAAAAAUUUGUGCCAUCUGGAUGAAGAUUUGCUGUUUCAGAUGAAGGUGUUCAUUGACUAGGUGGUCUUAAGAGCAGGUAACGAUGAAGAGACUGAACAUUUGAACCAGCUGGAUGAAGAUUUGCUGUUUUAUUUGGGUCUAACCAGCUGCAGGGAGCAAUGUAGAAUAUUUGAACGAACUGGAUGAAGAUUUGUGGUUUCAGAUGAAGUUUUUCAUUGACCAGCUGGGUUUGAGAGCAGUUCAUUUUCAACUCUACAAAGACGACAGCCGUCCUGCUGAUGAUCGGGUUUCUGUAACGGUGUCUCAACACAUUUUUAUUUAUUUUUUUUGAUAUAUUUCUGCUGCCUUCGAGCUGACAGAACAAACCAGAGUGAGGCCACUUCCAGUUGAUGGGACCCGUCAUUUAUUUUGUCAUGUUGGAUUUGCUGAAUAAACAGUAACUAAUUCUUGAAUGCUCAUGUUUGGUGUUGUAAUUCUACUGUAAAUUAUUUUUAUGUGGUUUUGGGGGGAAUAUUCACAAAAUUGUAUUAAACACUUAAAGGUGGUGAUUUAAUGGUGUAUUUGGACAAAAAUCUACUUGUUCCAAGCAGAUUUAUAGACAAUCCAAUAAUUAGUUGUUAUUUUUUACCAGCAUUCCAACAUGCCAGUUUUUCAUGCUUGAAGAAAAACAUGUAGUCAGUGUCAUGGUCGAGCAUUUCCACCUUCAAACUGCAGCGUAUUGACAAAAUUCUCAGAGAUUCAGACUUGCCUUGUUAACAUGGUAUUUCUAUGCUGGAAGACAUUAAAAAAAAAAAACAUGCAGUCAUUGUCAUGACUGAGCAUUUCCACCUUGAAACUGCAGCGUACGUAAAGAUUCUCAGAUAUUCAGACUUUGAGGUGCUCUUCUAUAUUACUUGUCUUCAGAAUCUGUCUCCGACUGGAGUAUUUAUGGCUUGUAAAGGGUUUUACAGUGUUUGAGUCAGAGGUGAGCUGGUGUGCUAAGACUGCAGCCAGUGGAGAGAUGUGGGUGUAGAAGGAAGUUGAGACUUUGUAGAAGUCGCAACGCCAUUUUGUUUUCUUUUUUUAAUGCACACUGCCUGUCCAAAAAAAAGUCGCCACCUGGAUUUUUUAUUUUUUUUUAUCACAGAUUGUGAGUUUGGAAGCAGGUUGUUCAGCAUUUUAUUGCUAUUGUGUGUCUGUUACUGUGCUGUUCUGACCUGUCGAUGCAAAUUAGUCAGAAUCUGUAAACUACAAUGACAUUUACAUUAAAAAUAAAUGGUUGUAAUAGAUAAUAGAGUCGUGCCAUUGAGCUUAUCACUUGUUAUAAAGUAUUCAGUAUCUUCCAUGCAUGUUUUUUCGUCCUUUUCAUUGCAUUUUUAUCGCAGAUUGUGACUUUAAAUUGGGUUUGAAAGCAGGUUGUUCAGCAUUUUGUUGCUACAGUAUAUGUACUGCCUGUUAUUGUGUUGUUUGGACUUGGAGAGGGACUGUAGAUGUAAAUUAGCUACAAGUUGUAAACUGGUG